GAGGCGAACCGGGGGAACUGAAACAUCUAAGUACCCCGAGGAAAAGAAAUCAACCGAGAUUCCGAAAGUAGCGGCGAGCGAAAUUGGACUAGCCCUUAAGCUUUACACGCGUUAGACGAACGGUCUGGAAAGUCCGACGAUACAGGGUGAUAGUCCCGUAGUUGACGACGUGUGUUCAGUGAAAUCGAGUAGGGCGGGACACGUGAUAUCCUGUCUGAAUAUGGGGGGACCAUCCUCCAAGGCUAAAUACUACUGACUGACCGAUAGUGAACCAGUACCGUGAGGGAAAGGCGAAAAGAACCCCUGUGAGGGGAGUGAAAUAGAACCUGAAACCGUGUACGUACAAGCAGUAGGAGCAGGCUUUGUCCUGUGACUGCGUACCUUUUGUAUAAUGGGUCAGCGACUUAUAUUCAGUGGCAAGGUUAACCAUCUAGGGGAGCCGUAGGGAAACCGAGUCUUAACUGGGCGUUCAGUCUCUGGAUAUAGACCCGAAACCAGGUGAUCUAGCCAUGGGCAGGUUGAAGGUUGAGUAACAUCAACUGGAGGACCGAACCGACUAAUGUUGAAAAAUUAGCGGAUGACUUGUGGCUAGGGGUGAAAGGCCAAUCAAACCUGGAGAUAGCUGGUUCUCCCCGAAAGCUAUUUAGGUAGCGCCUCGGACGAAUACUACUGGGGGUAGAGCACUGUUAAGGCUAGGGGGUCAUCCCGACUUACCAACCCUUUGCAAACUCCGAAUACCAGUAAGUACUAUCCGGGAGACACACGGCGGGUGCUAACGUCCGUCGUGGAGAGGGAAACAACCCAGACCGCCAGCUAAGGUCCCAAAUUACUACUAAGUGGGAAACGAUGUGGGAAGGCUCAGACAGCCAGGAUGUUGGCUUAGAAGCAGCCAUCAUUUAAAGAAAGCGUAAUAGCUCACUG
Molecule: ribosomal RNA, 921 nt
Filed under: Vibrio parahaemolyticus
Lineage: Bacteria; Pseudomonadati; Pseudomonadota; Gammaproteobacteria; Vibrionales; Vibrionaceae
Description: partial 23S ribosomal RNA
Rfam family: Bacterial large subunit ribosomal RNA
Source: RNAcentral